RNAcentral lists this ribosomal RNA (399 nucleotides) under uncultured bacterium. RNAcentral describes it as "bacterial SSU rRNA". It matches the Rfam family "Bacterial small subunit ribosomal RNA", at positions 355 to 746 of the family's 1533-position model. The record is from RNAcentral.
UGGGGAAUAUUGGACAAUGGGCGAAAGCCUGAUCCAGCCAUGCCGCGUGUGUGAAGAAGGUCUUCGGAUUGUAAAGCACUUUAAGUUGGGAGGAAGGGCAGUAAGCUAAUACCUUGCUGUUUUGACGUUACCGACAGAAUAAGCACCGGCUAACUCUGUGCCAGCAGCCGCGGUAAUACAGAGGGUGCAAGCGUUAAUCGGAAUUACUGGGCGUAAAGCGCGCGUAGGUGGUUUGUUAAGUUGGAUGUGAAAGCCCCGGGCUCAACCUGGGAACUGCAUCCAAAACUGGCAAGCUAGAGUAUGGUAGAGGGUGGUGGAAUUUCCUGUGUAGCGGUGAAAUGCGUAGAUAUAGGAAGGAACACCAGUGGCGAAGGCGACCACCUGGACUGAUACUGACAC